CAAUAGCGUAUAUUAAAGUUGUUGCAGUUAAAAAGCUCGUAGUUGGAUUUCUGGUGGGAGCGAUCGGUCUGGCGCUUAGCGCGAGUACUUGCAUCGUCUCCGGCCAUCCUUGGGGAGAGUCUGUCUGGCAUUAGGUUGUCGGGCAGAGGAUCCUCAUCGUUUACUGUGAAAAAAUUAGAGUGUUCAAAGCAGGCUUAUGCCGUUGAAUAUAUUAGCAUGGAAUAAUAAGAUAGGACUUUGGUACUAUUUUGUUGGUUUGCGCACCAAAGUAAUGAUUAAUAGGGACAGUUGGGGGUAUUCGUAUUCCGUUGUCAGAGGUGAAAUUCUUGGAUUUACGGAAGACGGACUACUGCGAAAGCAUUUACCAAGGAUGUUUUCAUUAA
RNAcentral lists this ribosomal RNA (383 nucleotides) under uncultured eukaryote. RNAcentral describes it as "partial 18S ribosomal RNA". It matches the Rfam family "Eukaryotic small subunit ribosomal RNA", at positions 592 to 976 of the family's 1831-position model. The record is from RNAcentral.